This 501-nucleotide long non-coding RNA is filed under the name Lynx pardinus (Iberian lynx). The record is from RNAcentral. Lineage: Eukaryota; Metazoa; Chordata; Mammalia; Carnivora; Felidae.
GAGGAUCGUGGAUUUCUGAAGGUAGAGGACGUGCCUGUGGUGCUUGUGGAGAAGAAGGGCCGUAUAGGCGCUGGCCCAGCCCAUGAGACUCAGAAACAAGAAAUCCCGCAGGGCCAUGAGGAUGGGAAACGUCCACUUCCUGAUCUGGCUUCUUGGGAGGACGUGAGAGCAGCUAUUUCCGUGGCUAGCUUGUGACCUGUUUAGGCCGCUCGUGUUGCUGACGUAGUAGAGUAAGUUCACGCUGACCAAGGAGUUGAGGACCCAGAAGAAGAGGCAGAAGGGAAGGAUGUGGCUUGCGGAUGCUGGCUUGAAGCCGGCGGGCACGGGGGCUCUGGGGCUGAUGGUGGUGGCCUGGACCACGGCGAGGAAGCUGCUGCUGGAGAUCGAAAGGCCCCGGGCCACCCUCUCCAGAAACACAAUCGCUUUACAGCCCAUGUCGCCCAGGACGUUUCUCACACCAGACAUCGCUAUUGUCUUCAGCGCUACCUUGGACAAAAGCAU